Molecule: ribosomal RNA, 247 nt
Filed under: uncultured bacterium
Lineage: Bacteria
Description: partial 16S ribosomal RNA
Rfam family: Bacterial small subunit ribosomal RNA
Source: RNAcentral
AUACGUAGGGUGCGAGCGUUAAUCGGAAUUACUGGGCGUAAAGCGUGCGCAGGCGGUUGUGUAAGACAGGUGUGAAAUCCCCGGGCUUAACCUGGGAACUGCGCUUGUGACUGCACGGCUAGAGUAUGGCAGAGGGGGGUGGAAUUCCACGUGUAGCAGUGAAAUGCGUAGAGAUGUGGAGGAACACCGAUGGCGAAGGCAGCCCCCUGGGCCAAUACUGACGCUCAUGCACGAAAGCGUGGGGAGC